GAAAAGGGAUACUUUUGGUAUUUCACCUACAACACGCAUCUUCAUCCUCUCCUCUGACUGCACAUAUACCACUGAGACGAGAAAGAUGUGAGAUAAGGGUGACGACGACGAUAGCAAUUUUUGUGACAACGCGACGAUGAUGACGGAGAUGGCUGCCGAAAAGGUUCAGUGGUUAGCGGCGGCGGCGGCGACGGCGACGGUUAGGGUUCCGCCAUGAAACAUGGUAUCGGCAGUGUUUUCUUUAUCAGAAUCGCUAUUGGGUGGGCUAAGUUCCAGGGUUCCGGCCGCCGUUCAGUUGAAGGUAAUGACGAUUAAGAAGGCAAUGAUGGAGGUUAUGGUUAUAGGCAUGGCGGUGACUUCAGAAACGAACUCCGGUGACUCAACUAGGGUUCCAGCAAGAUUACGUCACCUUUUUACACUGUAAGUUUGGUUUUCUUGAAGGUUCAAGGACCGAUGAUGAUGGUAUCACACACCACCCGUCCAAAAACCCACCGCCCUGCCCCUUCUCCAUUGACCAUCGCGGGUGUGAAGGAGUGGGUCUAGAGAGAGCGAAACAGAUCAAAGAAGAGACGAGAGACAGAGACGGAGUAGGGUUCUCCGACGUCGACAACGGUGAAGAGGCAUCCGCUGGCCUGAGGCAAACUGGUGUUAUCAACAGGUUAUGCGUUCGAUUUUGAUUUGUUGUCCCUUUUUCAGUUUUCCCGGCCAUACAUUAAUUAAUUAGUUGAUUCUACAUUCCCUCGGUUUUAAAAAAGAGACAGUGAUUGAUUUAAGGUGUUUAAUUUGUGAAAUUGGUAUGCAUUUUGUUAUUUUAUUUCAAUACAUCUCAAACCUUCUUUCAAAAUAAAUUAUAUAGAUUUUUAAUUUGAACACAAUGAGUUAAUUUUGGGGACAUGUGUUGCAGAACAUUGGCAGUUAGAAUCACAUAUUUGUUUAAAAUAUCAGUUGUUUAAGUGGUUGUAGUCAAUUGGAAAACACACGUCUAAACGUCCCUUAAUCAGUCCCCUAUAUUGUGGUUAGCUUUAUGACUGUAGGCCAACAAUGACGAUGUUUUAAAUCCCAAUCGAAAUGUUGAUGAGCUCCGAUGGAACCAGAAAGAACUAAUGGAAUGGCAAGUGAAUCUACCUGCUGGAUUCAAACACGAAGUCAUUAAUAAUCUCCCAAGUCGAUGUACAGUUUGCCUCUGCGGAUUUUCCAAAUGUAUAAUAUUAUGACUUUUCAGUUGAUUUUUUAUGUGUGCUUUUGCGGAUUUUCUGUUAUUACCUUUUAAACAUGAAAAUAUCUUAGGAUUUCGCCAAGGCUAUGGUGAUGCAUUUCAGCUCUUUUGUAUGAGCUUGAGCAAGGAUAAGAUUUCAGUGUGUCUUGGUUACAAAGCUGAGAAGGUCAUGUAAUUGACUAUGCUAUCACACGACAACUGGUUUGUGUACAACCAUGACACGUUUGCUUUACUUCUUUGAUUGAUUAUCUAUCUGAGCAUAAUCAUUGUCUUUGGCCAGUUCCUAAAAUCCUAAUCACUUAUUUUCACUAUUUCAGUUACAAGGGGCUAUGACAGUUAAUGGUUCUUACAUAGCUGUGUUGUCUUUAUCCUUUUGAUCUUACCAAUUUAUGUCUGAGCCUCAUCAUAUGACUUAUUGUUUUCACCAUUAUCAUUUUCCUUUCAUGACUGAGAAAAUUCUAUUGACUCAUGUUUCCUUUUCUUUCUAUAUCCGUUUUUUUUUUCUCAAAUUGGUCGACAAGAUUUACACACCUAAUUGUUGAUUGCUUGAUUUACAUAACUGUUCUAAUUAUUUUCCCCUAUUGUCAGGUAGUAGUAGUAUUGCAAUGCUUGCUGGUAGUAGGAAAGUGUGCUCGUAAGAUCUUACAUUCAUGUAAAGGAAACAAUGAGAAAAGGGCCAAAGGAGUGAUUGAUGAAAUAUGUUACAACAUUUUAAGACUGUAAAAUUUUACAUUUCGUUUUUGAACCAAACUCACACAAUACAUCACCCUCAUAUUAUCAUAUUCUACUAAUUCCAUUACUUAGGUGGUGGUGUUUUGAGUUUAACCAGUUUCAUUCCUUAUGGUUUCCUGUGUACCAAGUGAAAUUCUUUGUACUUUCAAAGUCAUAAUUUGUAUUUA
This is a long non-coding RNA of Helianthus annuus (common sunflower), 2115 nucleotides long. RefSeq lists it as uncharacterized. NCBI's taxonomy places the organism in Eukaryota, Viridiplantae, Streptophyta, Magnoliopsida, Asterales, Asteraceae. The record is from RefSeq and is a predicted model, not a curated record. The transcript is spliced from 3 exons.